This 125-nucleotide ribosomal RNA is filed under the name Schizosaccharomyces cryophilus OY26. The record is from RNAcentral. Lineage: Eukaryota; Fungi; Ascomycota; Schizosaccharomycetes; Schizosaccharomycetales; Schizosaccharomycetaceae.
GUCCACGGCCACACCUAGGCGAAAACACCAGUUCCCGUCCGAUCACUGCAGUUGAGUGAAAACGUCUGAUGGCCUCGUUUGUACUAUGGUUGGAGACAACAUGGGAAUCCGGGGUGCUGUAGGAU